CAUAUAAAGUAUUUACAAUAGGUUUUGUGUUAUUGGAUGGUAUGAUAUGAUUCAAGUCGAACAUAUUUCGUUAAGUGAUGAUUGUUUCUUCAAUUAUUUAACAACGAGUGCGAGGUUAUUGGUUACGAAGAUCCAAAAGGCAAAAGUAUCAGAUUAAUUGGCUUUCUAUUGAUAUCUGCUACAGAAACAUAAUUUCAUCAUCUAUUUUUUUCGUUUAGUUAUGUUAAUAGUACGUUGAUUGGUUUAUUUACUUUAUGAACCUGAGGGUUCCAUAAUAAUUUCCUUCAGAGAAUUUGGUUAUGAUUAUCAUAAACGUAUAAUGCUCUUUGUCAAUACUUCGAAAACAUAUUAUUUUGUUCAAUAUGUUCUAAAGUAGUAUGUUCUAAAGUUGUAUAUACUACAUACAGGUAGGUUUGAAAUUAUAAUGGUUAUAAUAUUGAAUAUCGUACAACAAGAGUUCCAUAUAUUCAUAUAAAUGUAUAAUUUUCUUUGUCAAUACCUCAAAAACAUAUUAUUUUGUUAAAACGUAUAAUGUUCCAUGCGUACCGUUUAUAUCUACGGCCCAUUGAACUACAAUCCUGUCGAAGAGUGGUUUUUCCAUAGGUUGAAAGCGGGCCGACCCAUCCCCAUUCCCAAAUCAGGUUUGCAAGUAACCCAACUCGGUCACGUAAAGGAUUUGGCUACAACUUUUAUAAAAGUUUUGGGGAAUGAAAAGCAUGCAAACAAGUGUACAACAUUUCAGGAUAUAGAUAUGUUACUUUCGAUGGAUUAGCAAGAGCUUGCGCUAAGGUAAAUUUCGUUAUAAUUUUUGAAGUUUUAAUCGAAAAAUUUAUAACAAGAUAUUUUACGAUUUAAUCUUGCAGGCUGGUGGAUUCCUUGAGCCCGAGAUCAUUCACUAUAAUCCUAAGGAGUUCCAUUACGGUAAAAAGAAAGCAUUUCCAUUCCAGGACCAGGUAAACACCAACUUAUAUAUACGUGCGGAAAGUCAACCUUGUGUUUGACUUUUGUUAUCGAUAUAAACAUUGUUCGAACCUAAUCGUUCAUUGGCAAGUUCUAAAAUUUGAAACACGAUAAUCAAUUUGCAAACACGAUCGAAGACACGGGACACCCCUAUACAAUUUCGCAACAUCAUAAUCCGGGGCUUAUAAACGGGUCAAUUCAAGUUUGACCAACCAGUUCUGUAAGGAUUUCCCAAUGAUUGGCGUCAUGGGAGGCACGAUUCCGAUGGGAACUUUUUGUUAUGGAAGAUCAUGUACUUUAUGAAUUUCUAGGGCUUGCACGAGAUGAAAAUGAAUAACAUGGGAGGCUAUUUUUAGAGCGAUUUAAUUUUUUUUCACUAAACAAUGUAUUAUUUUUUUUAAAUCGUCUUAUUUUAAGUAAUUUGAUGUAACUGAAACUUACAGUCUCUUUUAUUGCCGAAUGCACUUUUAUAUAAGAUAACUUAUUUUUAUC
This is a long non-coding RNA of Helianthus annuus (common sunflower), 1452 nucleotides long. RefSeq lists it as uncharacterized. The transcript has 3 exons. The record is from RefSeq and is a predicted model, not a curated record. NCBI's taxonomy places the organism in Eukaryota, Viridiplantae, Streptophyta, Magnoliopsida, Asterales, Asteraceae.